Molecule: long non-coding RNA, 363 nt
Organism: Hyla sarda
Lineage: Eukaryota; Metazoa; Chordata; Amphibia; Anura; Hylidae
Exons: 3
Source: RefSeq, a predicted model, not a curated record
UUAUGUUAUUAUGCAGGUUUCUGUUUCCAAAUUUAUCUGGGCUCUCAGACAGGAUAUGCAGUCUUGCAGCAGUGUCUUUCAAAUCUCUGACUGUCCAAAAUCAUAGACUUAAAGGUCUCAAGAGACUUUAUACAGUGAAACCUGAAUGAACAGAAAAAGGUUGUGUAGCAUUCUUCUAGAAUUGCCUGACGUGCCCCCAUGAGAAUCAGGAGACACCAGAAGUACCUAGAGACUGGACGGAGCAACUCAAAAGACGAGCCUUGCCAAGAUUUUCCACACAUAGUUCCAUAGCUGAAGGAUAAAAUAUGAGAUAUUGAUGUCAGUGAUUCCCAGCUGUAAAUACUUAUUUGUGCAUGGGGAUAU